Molecule: ribosomal RNA, 446 nt
Filed under: uncultured bacterium
Lineage: Bacteria
Description: bacterial SSU rRNA
Rfam family: Bacterial small subunit ribosomal RNA
Source: RNAcentral
CUACGGGAGGCAGCAGUGGGGAAUAUUGGACAAUGGGCGAAAGCCUGAUCCAGCCAUGCCGCGUGUGUGAAGAAGGUCUUCGGAUUGUAAAGCACUUUAAGUUGGGAGGAAGGGUUGUAGAUUAAUACUCUGCAAUUUUGACGUUACCGACAGAAUAAGCACCGGCUAACUCUGUGCCAGCAGCCGCGGUAAUACAGAGGGUGCAAGCGUUAAUCGGAAUUACUGGGCGUAAAGCGCGCGUAGGUGGUUUGUUAAGUUGGAUGUGAAAUCCCCGGGCUCAACCUGGGAACUGCAUCCAAAACUGGCAAGCUAGAGUAUGGUAGAGGGUGGUGGAAUUUCCUGUGUAGCGGUGAAAUGCGUAGAUAUAGGAAGGAACACCAGUGGCGAAGGCGACCACCUGGACUGAUACUGACACUGAGGUGCGAAAGCGUGGGGAGCAAACAGGA